GUGCUCGCUUCGGCAGCACGUGUGCUAGGCUGGGAACGAUACAGAGAAAGCCAGCACAGCCCCUGCUCAAGGAGGACAUGCAGAUCUGGGAAACACUCCAUAUUGUU
This is a small nuclear RNA of Hemicordylus capensis (graceful crag lizard), 107 nucleotides long. The record is from RefSeq and is a predicted model, not a curated record. Lineage: Eukaryota; Metazoa; Chordata; Lepidosauria; Squamata; Cordylidae.